GAUCGCGUUCAGUGAACCAUUCUCUACUGAGCACCUACGUACUUGUCUUGAUGUCACACACACCAAUGACUCGAGACUAGUCACUUUCCCUGAGAGAAGACAUAGCACGUACCGAUCUUGACGGACUGUCAAUGCCUAAUUGGCAAUCCUAUGAUCAGGAACAUUUAGGAUGUGUCUACGAAAGAAUGGUCUCAUGAAUCUAACUUCAUUAGAUUUACAUUCUCCCAAUCACAUAUUCCUUGGACUUUAUCGUUUAAGCAUAUAAUAUUUAUAUGAGACGGCUCAAACAAUAAUCUUUGCCCUUUAUAUUAAACUAGAUUAGUUUAACAUGUGAAAUGUCCUUAAAGUAUCAUCACAUGAUUGGUUUUAGGGCACAUUUCCAACAAUCUCCCACUUGCACUAGAG
Molecule: long non-coding RNA, 405 nt
Filed under: Malus domestica (apple)
Lineage: Eukaryota; Viridiplantae; Streptophyta; Magnoliopsida; Rosales; Rosaceae
Description: long non-coding RNA (MDOM_LNC020632)
Source: RNAcentral